UCGAGGCGCCGCUGGGCUCGGGCACCGUGCUCACCCGCCACUCCAUGGACAUGAAGUUCACCUACUGCGACGACAGGAUCGGGGAGGUGGCCGGGUACCACCCCGAGGAGCUCCUGGGCUGUUCCCUCUACGAGUUCGUCCACGCGCUCGACUCCAACACCCUGAGCCGCAGCGUGCACACCCUGCUCAGCAAGGGCCAGGCUGUCACCAGCCAGUACCGGUU
Molecule: long non-coding RNA, 223 nt
Organism: Passer domesticus (house sparrow)
Lineage: Eukaryota; Metazoa; Chordata; Aves; Passeriformes; Passeridae
Exons: 3
Source: RefSeq, a predicted model, not a curated record